GAGUCUACUCCGGUGAGUAUGACUAUGGAUGUUUUACUUUCUUUGCUCAUACUUAGACUAAAACCUAGUGAUGGCCUUCGUGCUGGAUUUGUUGAUGUGUUAGCCUUCGUGCUGGAUUUGUUGAUGUGUCGGCCAUCGUGCCAGAAAUGUGGUAGUCGGCCUUCGUGUCGACGUUUCUCUUGCAGGUUUUGGAAACCUCCCCGUGCAGGGGAGGUGCUGCCGAAAUUUCCAAUUUUUCUUUACACUCUUUACAUUUUUAUUUGUCACUCACAUCCAAUGCCCUCUCUUUUGUAGCAUGCAUCGGGGGCGGCGUCCAACCAUGUCGGAGGGUCGCCAGGAUCGCACGGCGUGCUAUGCACACCUAGACCGUCGCCGGGAUCGCAAGCUGGGGCGUCCCAACCCUCGCCAGGAUCGCACACUGGACAGUCGCCGUGAGCUGCCUUGGGAGUUGUUUUUAUGUAUUAAACUUGUGAACUUGGAAUAAUAUGUACUCUUGAACGUGUGGUUUGUAAUAUAUUUUGAAUUUUGUAUAAAUUUGGUCAUUUGUGAUAUAUAUAUAAAUGUGGUUUGUGAUAUAUUGCUGUUGAUUUUUGGAUUGUGA
RNAcentral lists this long non-coding RNA (601 nucleotides) under Sorghum bicolor (sorghum). Its description in RNAcentral is "long non-coding RNA (SBIC_LNC009857)". Lineage: Eukaryota; Viridiplantae; Streptophyta; Magnoliopsida; Poales; Poaceae. The record is from RNAcentral.